GACGAACGCUGGCGGCGUGCUUAACACAUGCAAGUCGAACGGUAAGGCCCUUCGGUGUACACGAGUGGCGAACGGGUGAGUAACAAGUGGGUUAUCUGCCUUGCACUUCGGGAUAAGCCUGGGAAACUGGGACUAAUACAGAAUAGGACCCUAGGAUUCAUGUCCUGGGGUGGAAAGCUUUUGCGGUGUGUGAUGGGACCGCGGCUUAGCAGCUUGUUGGGGGGGUGAUGGCCUACAAAGGCGACGCAGGGUAGCUGGGACGAGAGGGUGACCGGCCAGACUGGGGUGGAGCUACGGCACGGCCUCCGGCGGGAGGCAGCGGUGGGGAAGAUUGCACUGUGGGAGAGAGCUGGAUGUACCGACGCCGCGUUGGGGGUGACGGCAUGCUGGUUGUAAACCUCUGUCAGCACCGACGAAGCGCAAGUGACGGUAGGUGCAGAAGAAGGACCGGCCAACUACGUGCCAGCCGCCGCCGUAA
RNAcentral lists this ribosomal RNA (478 nucleotides) under uncultured bacterium. Its description in RNAcentral is "partial 16S ribosomal RNA". It matches the Rfam family "Bacterial small subunit ribosomal RNA", at positions 28 to 523 of the family's 1533-position model. The record is from RNAcentral.